UACAUUUAUAUGACUUUAUUAUGUGAGUGGUUUAGAAGUGUCUUGUGUUCCUUUUACUUUGCUUGUUUUUAAUAAACUAUGUGUGUGAGAGUCUGCGUGUGUUCAUGUAUUUUUAUCUUCUCAAGUAUUACCUAAUAGCAUUACAAGAUAUAUAGUGAUAAAAAUGUGCCUUAUAUUUAGUCAAUUCACAUUUCUUUAUGUAUACUUUAGGAAUAUUUGUUUUAAAAUGAUAUUCAACUUUUUUUGACAUAUUCAAGUAUAGGAAAGAAAAGUUUAAUGAAAGAUAUCGUGGAACGAUUUAUGUGCAAAGAGUUUAGAAGUUAAUUUUGCUUUAUUGACCAAAAUAAAAUGAGGAAACAAAGAUUUACUAGGGUCAAGAUAUUAAUUGGAACAGAAAAUAUAACUCUUUAUUCUGAAAUGCACCUGCAUGUUAACAACAGUUUGAAAAUCUGAAGCACAGAUUUUAAAUGAAUGUACAAUGAAAUUUUAAACUUUUUUAUUCCCCGUAAAAUCAUUUUCAAGGUGAAAUGGAAGUUAAGUACAUUUAAAGACUUUUGGAGCAGAAAAUAGAUUUACUUCAGGUGGUACUGGGUAAACUUUCAGUUUGUAAUGAAAUAGAUAUUCUUUACUAUUCAUGAUAAGGGUGAAUAAAAAUGAAGCACUUAGUUUAAAAAAAUAAACUGGAAAGAAUGUAACACUUUCACUCCUUAGGUUCUUAAGUCAUUUUUUUUUGUUGUUGUUGUUCUUUUGUUCUGUAAUUGAUUGCUAGCACCCCCUUUAACCCACCUUAAAGGGCAGCAGGAAAUUCAUGUUUUCGUUCAUCAGCCCAUCCCUCUGAAAGGCGUUCGAUAUUAAAACAGUUUGCAGGGAGCAAAAGCAGAGGAAACAAGAGGCCCAGCUAGCCUGUAGCAAGGUUAGAAGAUACACUGCAAGAUUGCCUGCAACAUUGCAUCGAGUCUUGUUCCUGUCCAGUAUUUGCAUGGAGAGAUCAAGUUAAUUAGGGUAUGACUGUUCUUCACUUUCUAUGUGACCUUUUAUUCUAUCUGUGGCUCUCUAGUUCAUGCGGUGUCAUAAAGCUAUGGGAAAGUCUUUCUAGCUGUUUGACACAAACUGGAAAAAAUUAAGCAUUGAUAUUUCCUUUUGCCUGAAGGUUUUUACAGCAGCAAAUUACUGCAGCGGCAAAGUUGAUGUUGUGGUAGAUUUGCUGUGGGUGUCAGAAUGUUUCUUUUGUCUUUUUAGCUCCCCGCCUUCCCUGAUGAUCAGGUGCGACCAAGAGAGUUGUGCAGAGAGGUGGGGGUGGGGGAGGGGGUUCAGGAAGAGGUUACAUGGCAGAAUUCCCACGAAUGCUGGCGAAGGAUGAAAAAGAUAAAGAAAUCUUGUUUUUCUGAACUAGAGGAUUCUCUGCAUGACUUCCCCACUGUUGGGGUGAUGAGCUUUCAGGCUAAGAUUUUAUUAACAAUUCAUAUGGAGAUUGAGGGCAGCGGAGGAGCAGAUUCUCACAUAAACUUGAUCUGUCCAUGAAUGCUGUUCUCUGUUUGCCCUGACCCUGCAUGGCUUAAGACACUGCCUGUGAGGCCAGUGUGCCAGACACAAAGAAAGAAAUGAAAAGCAAGCACAUUCCAGGAGUCUGCACAAAAGACCCAGCAGUUUCUAGUCGUCUCCCCAGAGAGGAUCUUAUCUCUGCAUGGCCAAAAACCUCUAGAAUGUUUUCAUUUGUGUACCCAAAGUUUUAAAAUUGACAUGGCCGUUUAUUAGGCAGUAGCCUAUAGCCCUGUUUUCUUAGGUUUUAAAGUUUUGUUCUCAGAACUUGUUGAAACUAGAAAAACAUAAGCAAGGGUGCAUUUUGUGAAGUUUGGCUUUAAAAGUCACUGGCCUUGAAUUGUUUUUACUUUGUUGAUUGGUAGGUACCUUGAAAAAUGAAUCCUUUUCAGCUUUAAGAGAAGCCAGAACAACAUUUUAAAGCUUGACUUGACUUCGUGAUGCCUUAUGACACUGCAACUCUGAAACUUGUGGCAGAGUUAAGGCGUGAGAUGAAAUUGACAUGGGGGCGCAAGCCAGCCACCCCCAUGCUCCUGAGCACAGACAACCUAGCUACAUUAAAGAAAGAAGCAAGUGAAAAGUUUGAGUGAGACAAAAGUGCAAGGGAGUCAGGGACUUUUAACGUUGUAAUAUUUCAGCAAUUAUUGGCAGUUCACUAUUUUAUCUAGAUGCAUUAAAACAGGAUCAUAACAAACUAUCACAAGAUAUUUCUUUGUAAUUUAAUAUACUACAUUUUAUCACCUAACAAAUGCACAUUCCAGGUGUCAGAUAUAUUAAAGUUUGGGGAUAAAUAUUUGAUAAACAUAAUUAAUUCGGUUGCUAAAUUACGUGUUUCCACAGAUUCUUAAAAAUCGGAAAAUCCAGAUACACAGACUCUUGAAUUUUGUGUAUGUGUUUAGCUGUUCAAGUUGUUUCAAACUUUUAUAGUUCAUGAAUUAAAUAACCAGUAGAGGAAUGCAGGCAAAUGCUAUUAAUUAUGAUAGGCUUUGUUCCUUUCAUUUUAUAAUGGUUUUAUUUCCAUGAAAUUAACUGUUGUACUUAGGCUAAUUGUCAGUAAUUGGUGACAGAAUCACUUCAUUGUUUUUCUAUAGCAUGAUACUAAUUAGGAUCUUUGCAGUAUUGGCUCAGCCAUGUUCUAUAUUCUACCUUCUAUAUUGAAUCAUUGGUACAUAAAAUCAAGUGCAACUUUAAAAAAAAAUCCAUUAGAUAAAAUGUUUCUAUUAAUAAUUAAAUCUUUUAAACAGCUAGUUGUAAAUUAAUUUUAAAAUAUUGAAAUAGAAGGAAGCUUUAUUAUAGAUUUGUUGGGUUCAUGAAACAUCAAUUGAUCUUUCAGAUUUGAAUUGAAUCCAGUGGAAUCAUCCUUAAAAUAUCACAGCUGUAAUUCCAACUCCUGAGCCACAUGCAUUUUUAUUAUUCUGUUUGUGUCUGCAACAUUGAAAUUAGCACUGCUAAAGUGUUUUGGUAAGGUAUCACAGGACUGGAUCCAUUGUCUUUCUUUUCAUGCCUGAUAGAGAUAUCAUAAAAUAUAGCAUAUUUUUGUUUGUUUUCUAACUAGUUUUUUUUUUUUGCCACAAGAAAAUGGUUUUUGAAGCACUUAUAUUUCAAAUGAAAAUAUAUAUGAAUAGUUGUGAUUAUAAGAGCUUAGUUUUAUGCUUUGUUUUAAAUUUAGAAGAUUGUGUUCCAUGUGGUUGACAGGUUAUAAAAAGAGAAAAUGAGAGAAUAUUCUAUUUUGUGAAGUGAGGUUUAAUGCCGAUGGGAGAAAAUAUUACAACUCUGUAUAUCCUAUUAAAACAAUCACAGUCAAUACUACUUUGCUCAUUUUUAAAAGAAUUCUUCUCAUCCAAUUCACCUGUGAUCUGUAUGAAUUUGUAAGUUAUGGAAGUUUUCUAAUAGUUUGAGGUAUAGCCUCCUUGCUUCUUUUCCUUGUUCUAUGGUACUUUUACCAAUCCGGUGCAUUUUGCAGUUUACAGUGAACUCAGUUUGUUUUAAAAGCAACCAUAAUGUAUAACUUAGAGCUUAGUGCCUCACAGUUCUGAAAAAAGUUUUUAAGAAGUGAUUAGGAAAAUAAUUGCCUAUUAAAAGGUGAAGAUUGGUUUAAGCAGGGAGAGAAGAAACUGAACUCUGAAAUUGAAAGCAUUCAUUAAUCUUUCUAUCAUUUUAGAAAGUCCAUAGCAAAGCACAAAAACUAUAAAAAUCUAUGAUUGUUUCCUUAAAAAGAGAAUCUUUUGAUUUACAGCAGUUAUUUGAAUACCCAUUCGGGCUCUUUUGUAAUGUGUUGGAAUAAAUGCACUUCUCCUAAAUGAAGAAUACUCAUGAGGGGGCAGAAUUCCAACAUAAACUAUGUUUAGAUGCUGUAUCUCAAUAGGUGACCCCAUAACAUUAAACAAAGGUUCUUUUUCUCUUCUCUCUGUUUUGUUCUCUGGAAAAUAAAUUCCUCAAAGCAAAAUUCAGUUUGUUCCUUUUUCACCCUAUUGGCAGAUAUGCAAUAUAUCCUCUGUCUCUUAUCAAAUAUACAGAUUAUGAAAAAUAGACAAGGUCAAAACGGACUUUUAGGUUUAAAAAUGAGAAAGUAUUCUAAAAGUUACUUUGGGAAGAUCUUUUUUUCUUUUUUAUUCAUCCUGCCUUAUAGACUCUGGAGUGUACAAUGCAACGGGGGUUUUCUUUCUUGAGGAUUCGAAGUGUACACGGAAAACACAAGAGAGGAAAUGGGACUCUGGUAAUACCGUGAGCCACAUCCAUGGGCAUUUAAAUCCUAUAG
This 4297-nucleotide long non-coding RNA is filed under the name Sus scrofa (pig). RNAcentral's name for it is "lncRNA (ENSSSCG00060066365.1)". The record is from RNAcentral. Lineage: Eukaryota; Metazoa; Chordata; Mammalia; Artiodactyla; Suidae.